This 1172-nucleotide long non-coding RNA is filed under the name Nasonia vitripennis (jewel wasp). RNAcentral's name for it is "uncharacterized LOC116416894". Lineage: Eukaryota; Metazoa; Arthropoda; Insecta; Hymenoptera; Pteromalidae. The record is from RNAcentral.
CUGUAAUACUUUGUGUCAUUUUUAUUGGUAUUUUUUUUAGGAUUGUAAUAGGAUAUUCUAAAAGGUAAUAAGUAAUCAAAUUCAAUGACAUAAAUGCUGUAUGCAUUUUAUAAAUCAAAACGACAAUUAUUCAACAGCUGAUAAAUGUGUUCAUGCGCAACUAAGUAAUACAAAAAAAUAUAAUUUGCAUGGUGUUGUAACUACUGCGAGUCAAGUGGAUAAGUUGACCUUGUUAGUUAAGUUGCUGGCAAUAGUGAAUAAAAUACUGUUGGAGAUUGUUGGAAAACUGAUCAGUGAUGCGUGUCUCAUGCACUAACUUUGGAUGAACUCUACAAAAAUUGUAUACGUUACUCAUGAUACUAGAAUUUUUGUCAAUGGAGAUAGACGUUAAUCUAUUUUAUAGUAUUGUUGGGAUCACUCAGAUGCGCCCUUCCCAGUGCUCGGAUAAUGACUGGAUCAAAUAAGAACAGGCUUUAUUUGGUUGACGAAUGAAGUAGAGAAGAUUUUUUAAGUGAAGGGAACAUUUGUAUAAUAAUUCUUUAUUAAUUUUCCUAUACUUAUGUCGAAGAAGUUAUAAUAAUAAGUGACAAUAGUUUUGGUUAUUUUUAUAAAUUGAGGAAAUGAUUUCAAAAGUGAAUAAUUUGAACAAACAUCUUGCUGUAACUAUAUACAAGUUAAUAUAACAAUUAAUUUAAAAUAAUGUAACAAUAUAUGAAUUAAAACUUUUUCUGAUUUUUUAUUUAAACAUUUAUUUGUGUACCAUUCUUUUCAUACGCACUGUAGCCUACUUAAGUGGACUAUAUUUUUUAGAUGAUGUUUUUUUUUAUUUUCUCCUUACUCCAUCAUUUUGUAGAUACAUAAUAUAUAUAUAUCUUUACAUAUAUUUUAUUAUAUACAUAUAUCUUUUCCAUCGGUAGACAUCAUUUUAGAAAAGGUGCAUCAGGUAUUAUUAUUUUAUUGAUUUUUUAUUUUAAAAAACUGAUCUUACACAAAUCAUAUAUGUAUCGUACGUAAAUUUUAACUGGAUUAUUUUUAGAUUUAAUAGUCUUUUUUGUCUGCCUGUGUUUCUUAAAAUGAGUAUAUAUGAAUUAAAAAUUAUAAUAUAAUUCUGCACACAUUACACAUUACUUAGCUAUCAAUAAAUAUGUAUACUAGUCUUCUCCGUCUGUCUG